Molecule: long non-coding RNA, 1799 nt
Organism: Anas platyrhynchos (mallard)
Lineage: Eukaryota; Metazoa; Chordata; Aves; Anseriformes; Anatidae
Source: RefSeq, a predicted model, not a curated record
CUCUCUAAGCAGCUGGCUUGGGAGAGCUCUGCUCCAGAGGUGUGGGGUUUGUAAAUGGUCCUGGGCAGGGGAAUUCCUGGAGGUUUGUUAUCUCAUGGAGGCAGUGUGGUGGCCUAGCCCUGCUGUCUGGGGAGCUCGUUUGCGUAAUUUUGUUGGGUCCUGGCUAAUAAUGACGUCACUUAAAAACAAUUCAUUUUGCUGGACUGAGAGUGGGCUUCGUUGUCAUGGCAACCUUUGAUUCGGAGACUUGCGGGAAGGAGACAGGCAAUCCCCAGCUGGUGGGAGACCCUUCUGCAUGACCCCAGGACCUAUGGGACACACACAGCACCUUGUGCCCAGCUGCUGAGCACCGUCCCACCCUCGGUGGCAGAGGGAAGGGAUUUAAAUGGAGAGGAAUGGAGUUUAUAUUUAGAGCCGGAGGAUGCUCCUUCAUCAGAUUACGACAGUUUUAAGUAGGUCAGGCUGGAGACCCGAGAUACCCGAGUCCCCUUCAAAGGCAUCCGUCCGUCACUUAUUAUUCCAGGCAUUUCCCUUUCGCUCUGCCUUCCUUUCACAGCCCUUUGUCGCUGCUUCUGGGCUGUGCCAGCCCUUGCAGUGCGUUCCUACACUUGCUCCUUUCAUUGCCUUUCCUGUCCCUGUGUCCCCCUUGGCCCUGGGGCCUGGGACUUCAAUUCAACAAAGAUGAGAAGGGUUUGCAGGGGUCGCAUUGCAAAGCUCUUAACCCCAUCUCUAUUGCUCUCAUUUCCUGAAAAACCUGAAAUCCCCUCUGCUUUGGCACGGGCAGGUCUCACAUGGGAGCACGGCUCUGACCUUUCUGUUCUGGCACCAGAACCAGCAGCGAGCAGCACCCGCUUGUUUUCAUUGAGCCCUUCCCUCUAUCUCAGCCUGUUACAUUUUUCAACUCUCGGUGGGAUUUAUUUUUUUUAAUUUUUUUUUAAACUCAAGGCCUCCUUCGAGCUGAUCACAAGGGAACGCUGAGUGCUUGUUUUUUAAUAUUCUGACAGGUGCUAUUUUGCUAUUUGCUUGUGAUGAUUCAGGACAUUUGCAUCUCUUUGUCCUUAAUUAAAAAGCGCUUCACCCUUGCUGCAGGGAUAUGGCAGAUUUCUCUUGAUCUAUUCAUUUUUGGGGAUUUUUAAUCAACAUAUCCACUCCAUCAGUGCGGGUGCAUUUCUGACAGGGGGGUGAAGCUUAGCGCAGUGUGUGGAGAGCUGUGUGGGUGUAAUUAUGGCUUGCUUUUUUUUUUUUUUUUUUGGUGGAUUUGACUGCUGUUGAAAGGCGUUCUCUAACAGCCUCCUGGAAGGCAGGAGUCCCCUGUCCACCAAACCCAUGGAUGAAGACAAGGGGGAAAUUUGCUGCCAAGCUCCCCCAGGAGCUGAUGGUUUCCCUUCCCAGGUUUCCCAAAGUACCCAUGGCAGGUGAUGAGUAGCUGGCUCUGGAAUCCACCUGUGCUGUAGGGCACUGGCUGUUUGGAAAUACCCAGAGGGGAGGCACCCCAGUACCGCACCCCAUGGGGAGCCUGCCGUGUGCUCCCACACCUACUUCUCCACCCCAUAACCCCACUGCCCAGCCCGGCAUGCUUGGUUCCCAGUGCUGCUUUCCCAUUCCAGCCUCAAAUCGUCUCUCUCACAAAAUAUCAGGCUAAGAAACAAGCCCUGCAAGGCUCCGGCUGCUUUCGCAGUGUUUAUCUGUGCAGCUCAUGCAGGUCAGGGUGUGCGGGCUCGUGGGAACCUUUGAAGAUUAUUUCUCUUCAUUUUUUUUUUGAAGAGACUUCAGUUUCCUCUCAAAUCUUUUAACUUCAC